GGAAGUACUAGAGGUCCCGCCUGCCCUGUGACCACAAAGUUUAACGGCCGCGGUAUCCUGACCGUGCGAAGGUAGCGUAAUCAUUUGUCUUUUAAAUAGAGACCUGUAUGAAUGGCAUAACGAGGGUUUAACUGUCUCCUUCCCCUAGUCAAUGAAAUUGAUCUGCCCGUGCAGAAGCGGACAUAAACACAUAAGACGAGAAGACCCUAUGGAGCUUUAGACAAAAGAUCAAACAUGUAAAGAAACCAAACCAACCAAAAGGAACACGAAGGCCACAAAGCCCAACGUAAACUGAUCUAAAUGUCUUCGGUUGGGGCGACCAUGGGGGAAAGAAAAGCCCCCACGAGGAACAGGGACAACCCCUAAACUAAGAGAGACACCUCUAAGCAACAGAAAAUCUGACCAAAAUGACCCAGGAUACUAAUCCUGAUCAACGAACCAAGUUACCCUAGGGAUAACAGCGCAA
RNAcentral lists this ribosomal RNA (466 nucleotides) under Anguilla anguilla (European eel). RNAcentral's name for it is "partial large subunit ribosomal RNA". It matches the Rfam family "Bacterial large subunit ribosomal RNA", at positions 1839 to 2485 of the family's 2925-position model. The record is from RNAcentral. Lineage: Eukaryota; Metazoa; Chordata; Actinopteri; Anguilliformes; Anguillidae.